RNAcentral lists this ribosomal RNA (253 nucleotides) under uncultured bacterium. Its description in RNAcentral is "partial 16S ribosomal RNA". It matches the Rfam family "Bacterial small subunit ribosomal RNA", at positions 524 to 776 of the family's 1533-position model. The record is from RNAcentral.
UACGUAGGGGGCGAGCGUUGUCCGGAGUUACUGGGCGUAAAGGGCGUGCAGGCGGUGCAGUAAGUUUGGAGUGACAGUUCCCGGCUCAACUGGGGAAGGCCUCUGAAAACUGCUGGACUUGAGGGCCAGAGAGGGACAUAGAAUUCCGGGUGGAGUGGUGAAAUGCGUAGAUAUCCGGAGGAAUACCAAAGGCGAAGGCAGUGUCCUGGCUGGCAUCUGACGCUGAGGCGCGAAAGCUAGGGGAGCGAACAGG